RNAcentral lists this ribosomal RNA (768 nucleotides) under Faecalimonas nexilis. RNAcentral describes it as "partial 23S ribosomal RNA". It matches the Rfam family "Bacterial large subunit ribosomal RNA", at positions 2159 to 2925 of the family's 2925-position model. Lineage: Bacteria; Bacillati; Bacillota; Clostridia; Lachnospirales; Lachnospiraceae. The record is from RNAcentral.
GAAGCGGUGACGCCAGUUGCCGCAGAGUCGCUGUUGGGAUACCACCCUUGCAGUAUUGGAUUUCUAACCAGCAGCCGUGAACCGGCUGGGGGACAAUGUCAGGUGGGGAGUUUGACUGGGGCGGUCGCCUCCGAAAGGGUAUCGGAGGCGCUCAAAGGUUCCCUCAGAAUGGUCGGAAACCAUUCGAAGAGUGCAAAGGCAGAAGGGAGCUUGACUGCGACACCGACGGGUGGAGCAGGUACGAAAGUAGGACUUAGUGAUCCGGUGGUAUAAAGUGGGAUUGCCAUCGCUCAACGGAUAAAAGCUACCCUGGGGAUAACAGGCUUAUCACUCCCAAGAGUUCACAUCGACGGAGUGGUUUGGCACCUCGAUGUCGGCUCAUCGCAUCCUGGGGCUGGAGUAGGUCCCAAGGGUUGGGCUGUUCGCCCAUUAAAGCGGUACGCGAGCUGGGUUCAGAACGUCGUGAGACAGUUCGGUCCCUAUCCGGCGUGGGCGUAGGAUAUUUGAGAGGAGCUGACCUUAGUACGAGAGGACCGGGUUGGACUGGCCGCUGGUGAAUCUGUUGUUCUACCAAGAGCAUGGCAGAGUAGCCAAGCCGGGAAGGGAUAAACGCUGAAGGCAUCUAAGCGUGAAGCCCCCCUCAAGAUGAGAUAUCCCAUAACGUCAAGUUAGUAAGACCCCUUGAAGACGACAAGGUAGAUAGGACAGAGGUGGAAGUGCAGUAAUGUAUGCAGCUGACUGUUACUAAUCGGUCGAGGGCAUAACCAA